Molecule: ribosomal RNA, 424 nt
Filed under: uncultured Chroococcales cyanobacterium
Lineage: Bacteria; Bacillati; Cyanobacteriota; Cyanophyceae; Chroococcales
Description: bacterial SSU rRNA
Rfam family: Bacterial small subunit ribosomal RNA
Source: RNAcentral
UGGGGAAUUUUCCGCAAUGGGCGAAAGCCUGACGGAGCAACGCCGCGUGAGGGAUGAAGGCCUCUGGGCUGUAAACCUCUUUUCUCAAGGAAGAAGAUCUGACGGUACUUGAGGAAUAAGCCACGGCUAAUUCCGUGCCAGCAGCCGCGGUAAUACGGGAGUGGCAAGCGUUAUCCGGAAUUAUUGGGCGUAAAGCGUCCGCAGGCGGCCUCGUAAGUCUGUCGUUAAAGCGUGGAGCUUAACUCCAUUUCAGCGAUGGAAACUGCGAGGCUAGAGUGUGGUUGGGGCAGAGAGAAUUCCCGGUGUAGCGGUGAAAUGCGUAGAUAUCGGGAAGAACACCAGUGGCGAAGGCGCUCUGCUGGGCCAUAACUGACGCUCAUGGACGAAAGCCAGGGGAGCGAAAGGGAUUAGAUACCCCUGUAGU